UUUGGUUUAGGAUUUGGUUAAGGUUUGAUUUAGGAUUAAGAUUUGGUUAAGAUUUAGUUUAGGAUUUAGAGUUUGGUUUAAGAUUUAAGAUUUGAUUAGGAUUUGAUUUAAGAUUAGGAUUUGAUUAAGAGUUGAUAUAGAGUUUAGGAUUUAGUCAGGAUUUGAUUUAGGGUUUAGGGUUUUAUUUGAAUUUGUUUAGAAUUUAAGAUUUAGUUAGUUUUUGGCCUAAAGUUUGAAUGAAGUCCAAUAGGAUUUCAACUAGGAUUAAAUUAAGAUUGAAUUGAGAUGUAUUUGAGAUAUAUUUGUAAUCAUUCUAGUAUUUUUUAAGAUUUCUUAUUGUUUCUUUGUAAUUCCUUUGAGGUUUCUUUAAAUUUGAUUAAAGCUUGUUUAGCAUUAUUAGUGUUUUAUUAGAAUUAGAGUUUUUGUUGUAGAAAUUUCUAUUCUACCUUCCACAGCCAGGUGCCCAGAGCAUUCUUAAGCAAGACUUCACGUAUUAUGACAGUGUGAUUCUAAGAAUAACACAAACAAUGAAUUAAUUCUAUAUUUUUUGUUGUAUGAGUUAUUUUUAUUGAUAAGUAA
RNAcentral lists this long non-coding RNA (579 nucleotides) under Physcomitrium patens. RNAcentral's name for it is "long non-coding RNA (PPAT_LNC011619)". Lineage: Eukaryota; Viridiplantae; Streptophyta; Bryopsida; Funariales; Funariaceae. The record is from RNAcentral.